Molecule: ribosomal RNA, 935 nt
Filed under: uncultured Syntrophaceae bacterium
Lineage: Bacteria; Pseudomonadati; Thermodesulfobacteriota; Syntrophia; Syntrophales; Syntrophaceae
Description: bacterial SSU rRNA
Rfam family: Bacterial small subunit ribosomal RNA
Source: RNAcentral
AGAGUUUGAUCCUGGCUCAGAACAAACGCUGGCGGCGUGCCUAACACAUGCAAGUCGUACGAGAAAGUCCGCUUCGGUGGAUGAGUAAAGUGGCGCACGGGUGAGUAACGCGUGGAUAAUCUACCCUUUAGUCUGGAAUAACUUAUCGAAAGGUGAACUAAUACCGGAUAAUAUCCCGAUUUCUUCGGCGAUCGGGAUCAAAGAAGGCCUCUGCUUGCAAGCUUUCACUGAAGGAUGAGUCCGCGUACCAUUAGCUAGUCGGCAGGGUAAUGGCCUACCAAGGUUAUGAUGGUUAGCUGGUCUGAGAGGAUGAUCAGCCACACUGGAACUGAAACACGGUCCAGACUCCUACGGGAGGCAGCAGUGAGGAAUAUUGCGCAAUGGGGGCAACCCUGACGCAGCAACGCCGCGUGAGUGAGGAAGGUUUUCGGAUUGUAAAGCUCUGUCGAGCGGAAAGAAGUGCAUGGUGGUUAAUAUCCAUCAUGCUUGACGGUACCGCUAAAGGAAGCACCGGCUAACUCCGUGCCAGCAGCCGCGGUAAUACGGGGGGUGCAAGCGUUGUUCGGAAUCAUUGGGCGUAAAGCGCGUGUAGGCGGCUGGACAAGUCAGAUGUGAAAGCCCUGGGCUUAACCCAGGAAGUGCAUUUGAAACUGUUCAGCUAGAGUAAGGGAGAGGAAAGUGGAAUUCCUGGUGUAGAGGUGAAAUUCGUAGAUAUCAGGAGGAACACCGGUGGCGAAGGCGACUUUCUGGCCCUAUACUGACGCUGAGACGCGAAAGCGUGGGUAGCAAACAGGAUUAGAUACCCUGGUAGUCCACGCUGUAAACGAUGUUCACUAGGUGUUGGGGGUAUUGACCCUUCCAGUGCCGCAGCUAACGCAUUAAGUGAACCGCCUGGGGAGUACGGCCGCAAGAUUAAAACUCAAAGGAAUUGACGG